AGAGGAGUAUAGCCGACACUUCUGAACAACACGCUGGAAAAGGAAUAAACUUGGAAGAUGACAAUAAAGCCAACGGAAAAUCAAGUAAAGAUCAAAGUGAAAAUAUAGAACUCACUGUUUUUCCUGAUAAAGACGAUAUAACCACAAUAAUUGAGUCCGAUAUUUCUGAAUCGGGAAAAAGCUUACCACGAGAAGAAGAAGUCGAAACUUCUGGUUCUUCUGCCGCUCCAAAAGAGCUAGAUGAUGAUCUUUCUUCCAAUGAAACCCAAAGCGUUAGUGAGGUCUUGAAUCUGACCAGUAA
Drosophila subobscura is the source of this 301-nucleotide long non-coding RNA. RefSeq lists it as uncharacterized. The record is from RefSeq and is a predicted model, not a curated record. Lineage: Eukaryota; Metazoa; Arthropoda; Insecta; Diptera; Drosophilidae. The transcript is spliced from 3 exons.